CUCGUGUCACCAGCCCAGCGCCAGCGAGCCCGACAAAUGACUGUUUGCAGCUGUCAUUAGGUGAAAACAAGGAGAAUCUGCAUAUGCUUAGUUUUAAUUAGGCAGCUUGGCAAGGAGCCCUCGCUCGCUGCUACCAAACAGCCAUUGCACUCACAGACGGGUGGCAGCAGCCUCGGAGUGCACACAGACACACAGACAGACAGACAGACACAGACAGAUACACACACACACACAGUGCACACACACACACACACACACACACACACACACACAGUGCACACAGACAGACAGACACACAGACAGACAGAUACACACACACACACACACAGACACACACACAGACACACACACAGACACACACACGCACACAGUGCACAGAGACAGACACACAGACAGAUACACACACACACACACAGACACACAGACACACACACAGUGCACACAGACAGACAGACACACAGACAGACAGAUACACACACACACACACACACAGACAGACAGACAGAUAUACACACACACACAGGAUUUACCUUUCAGGAUGCUCGAGGUGCCGGCUCACCCCCAGAACCAGGAUCAGUGUCCCUGUUUUACCAUUUCUGCGCUGCUCAGCCCUCAGGAUGGCCCCUCUGCAUGGUGACACUUUCUGCCAGCAGGAAAUGCUUCCCCACACAGCAUUUCCACACCAAACCCUGGGUAAAUCCCAUGCUCGAGGGCUGUCACUGCUCAAUCCCGUGGUCACAGGGAUAUUGUGACACCCACUGCCCCCCAGAGCUGGCUCUGACAGCUGAACAACCCCUCCACUGCCACCUCUUUGUUAAAAUUACAUCUUAAAAUUGUCCAGCUAAUGAUUUCCAUUUUCUCUCUCCUGUCACUGCUCAGAUCCUGCCCGUCCUGCCCCUUCUGAGCCCCGUGUACCACAGAGGGGUCAGGGCUGUCAGGUGUCACUCCCAUAUCCAACACUGAACAAACAUUUCUGUUUACAACAUCAACACCUGGUGAGCAGCACUGGCAGAGAAAAUGCAAAUUCCAGGCAGUUUAACCCUGUGUGCAAACGUGUGCUGG
Molecule: long non-coding RNA, 1062 nt
Filed under: Cyanistes caeruleus (blue tit)
Lineage: Eukaryota; Metazoa; Chordata; Aves; Passeriformes; Paridae
Description: lncRNA (ENSCCEG00000002911.1)
Source: RNAcentral